UGCAACUCCGGGCAGGGGGCGGCGUGAAUAGGGAGUGUGCAAGCGUUAAUCGGAAUUACUGGGCGGAAAGCGUGCGCAGGCGGCUUAUUAAGUCAGAUGUGAAAUCCCUAGGCUCAACCUAGGAACUGCAUUUGAAACUAAUAAACUAGAGUAUCGUAGAGGGAGGUAGAAUUCCAGGUGUAGCGGUGAAAUGCGUAGAUAUCUGGAGGAAUACCAGUGGCGAAGGCGACCUCCUGGACGAAAACUGACGCUCAAGCACGAAAGCAUGGGGAGCAAACAGGAUUAGAUACCCGUGUAGUC
This 300-nucleotide ribosomal RNA is filed under the name uncultured Geoglobus sp. RNAcentral describes it as "bacterial SSU rRNA". It matches the Rfam family "Bacterial small subunit ribosomal RNA", at positions 496 to 795 of the family's 1533-position model. The record is from RNAcentral. Lineage: Archaea; Methanobacteriati; Methanobacteriota; Archaeoglobi; Archaeoglobales; Archaeoglobaceae.